This is an RNA transcript of Penaeus monodon (black tiger shrimp), 2538 nucleotides long. It is a transcript of the gene named eukaryotic translation initiation factor 4 gamma 1-like, with no coding region annotated. The record is from RefSeq and is a predicted model, not a curated record. Lineage: Eukaryota; Metazoa; Arthropoda; Malacostraca; Decapoda; Penaeidae. The transcript is spliced from 11 exons.
ACUGUCUGGGUGCGGAGGUUACGUAGUUGCGGUGGAGUGACUAAGUUGGGGCGGGGACCAGUAUCCUUUCGAAUACAUUGUCGCGCGUUUGAACUUGGGGAGGGGGGAUGUUCACUCCCCUGCUCGCGAUGCACCGGUGUUCAGAUUGCGUGCGUUUUAGUGCGAGUAGUACGUGAUAUUAGUGCACCUGAUUGGUAAGAUGAAGCAAGCUGUUAUGGCGGAGGAAUGUAGUGCGAGCGUGUGAAGCAAUGGUAGAGCUCGAAAGCGGUCUGGGUCCAGUCAAGAAAUCGUGGCAUGCUGCGAAGGUGGCAGUGAUAGCAGCAGCAGCGCCGGCUAGCUGACCCUCGCCGCGACGGAGAACACAGGCGCUCACGACUCACAGCGCCAUGUGGAGGCGGCUGCUGACUGCCCUUGGCCUCACGCGGGAUUUCACGUGAUUCCCCGAUAAUAUGGAGGGCGCGCACACCCACAUAAACUCCUCGGAAGGAGACCUGACGCGAAGAAAAUACCACACCAGAACCAUUCACAGAUCUGAUAAACGGGGAGGAGGAGGAGGAGGAGGGUUCGGUCGCGAGUCCAGCAGAUCAAGGUACCAGGGCAGGAGGAGUCGAGACCGGCAUGGCAAGCGUGGAAGGGGGGUUCCCCGAGAAGAAACCACACAGCCAGAGAGACUGUGGAGGAGCCCCCAGCUCAGCCCAGCAGCCACAGUUACCAAGCCAACCCCAGAAGGCUGCAACACCACCUGCAGCUCAAAAUGCCACCAAGCCCACUAGCCAGCCUGUUGUUCAACCUCCAAAGGAGAAGACGCCAGAGCUAGCUCAGCCUGUGAAAUCACAGCUGCCACCAGUGCAGAAGCCGGCGUCCGCUCCCUCCUCCAAAGAGGCAACACCCCAGCCAGAGUCCUCCCCCUCCCCCCCUGAGGAGGUGCCUAGUGACCGUGCCUCGAAGGAGAGGGAAGUAAACAGCAUAGAGCGAGAAGUCAACAAUGUUCAUGAUGAGGAGGAGAAGAAGGAUGAUGGCCCUCAGCUGAAGUACAACUAUAAGGAUGAUCAGUGGAGCCCUGUAAAUCCUGAUGGUAAACGUCAGUAUGACCGCAGAUUUCUCCUUGAGCUCCAGAAUAACCCACUCUCCCUUAAGAAGCCGGAGUCCCUCCCCAACUUGGAGGUGGUCCGUGAUGGUCCAGGAAGGCUUAAGCCUUUCGACCGGGGUGUAGGUGUUUCACAUGGCAGCAGUGGCCCAGACUUUACUCCUGAUUAUUUCAAGUCUACAGUUCCAAGCAAGAGAGGAGUACCAGGGCGCAAUAGCCAACAGCGCCGAGAACCAGGAGGUGGACCUGGAAGUAGAAACGACAGAGGAGGAAGUGGCCGUGGACAGAGUAAGGUCAUCAUCAUCCCUCUCUCAACGGGACGUGAAACUAAGCUGAAGACGACAGAAAAUGCUUGGAAGCCUUCUGUUAAGGAGUCGAAUAUUAAUGAUGAGGAAGCUCAGACUAUUGAGGUGGUGAAGAGGAUGAGAGGCAUCUUAAAUAAACUGACUCCAGAGAAAUUUGAGAAACUUGUUGGUACAGUCAAUCAGAUGCCCAUUGACACCACAGAAAGACUUUCAGCUGUGAUUGAUCUUAUUUUUGAAAAGGCUGUGGAUGAGCAGGGUUUUUCUUCAACCUAUGCUCAGAUGUGUCAAGUACUCUCCAAAAUGUCUGUCCGUGGGGAAGGUUCAGACUCCAGCAACAGUGGCAAGUCUGAAGUUAAAUUUAGGAAUCUUAUAAUUAAUAAGUGCCAGAAAGAAUUUGAAAAAGAUAAUAUGGAAGAAUUUAAGGCUACCAGACGGAAAGAAAUAGAUGAAUGUUCUGAGGCUGAGAAGAAACAAGAAUUGUUAAUGAAGUUAGAUUAUGAUGAGACCAAAUUAAGAAAAAGGUCUGUAGGCAACAUUAGGUUUAUUGGAGAGCUCUAUAAGCUACGCAUGUUGACAUCACCGAUUAUGAUGCGCAUUAUCGGUACACUCUUGGAAAAGAGAGAUGAAGAGUCCCUUGAGUGCCUAUGUAAACUUCUUACUACAAUUGGCAAGCUCUUGGAAACACAGUGCAACCAGCAACCAAAGGCAAUGCAAGAACUAGAUAAACAUUUUGGACAGAUGGAGAAAAUAGUGAAUGACCGCUUAACCAAUAGCCGUGUUAAGGUUCCUAAUGAUGGAUGUGAUUGACUUGAGGCGAAACAAGUGGGUUCCAAGAAGAGAAGACAACAAGCCCAAAACCAAGGCUCAGGUCCAUGAGGAAGCAAAGAGAGAGGAGAUUGAGCAGCAGAUUGCCCUUGCUUCAACUCCAAACCGAAGAGAUGAUAGGAGAGAUGACCGUGACCGUAAGAGGAGCCGUGAUAACCGUGGUCCUCCUAUGUCUGAGGAUGGAUGGAAUACAGUUGCAUCCACCAAGAAUAGGGCAUCGUUUGACUCUUCACGCCUCAAAAAUACUUUUAUUAAUAGGCCGGGAGCAAGCGAGGGAAAGGAAGAAACAUUGAGAGGUACAGGAUUCAGCAAUUGGGACAU